RNAcentral lists this ribosomal RNA (301 nucleotides) under uncultured bacterium. RNAcentral's name for it is "partial 16S ribosomal RNA". It matches the Rfam family "Bacterial small subunit ribosomal RNA", at positions 509 to 807 of the family's 1533-position model. The record is from RNAcentral.
CAGCCGCCGCGGUAAUACGUAGGUGGCAAGCGUUGUCCGGAAUUAUUGGGCGUAAAGGGCUCGCAGGCGGCUUCUUAAGUCUGAUGUGAAAGCCCCCGGCUCAACCGGGGAGGGUCAUUGGAAACUGGGAAACUUGAGUGCAGAAGAGGAGAGUGGAAUUCCACGUGUAGCGGUGAAAUGCGUAGAGAUGUGGAGGAACACCAGUGGCGAAGGCGACUCUCUGGUCUGUAACUGACGCUGAGGAGCGAAAGCGUGGGGAGCGAACAGGAUUAGAGACCCGCGUAGUCCCUGUCUCUUAUAC